GUGGGUAGUUUGACUGGGGCGGUCUCCUCCUAAAGAGUAACGGAGGAGCACGAAGGUUGGCUAAUCCUGGUCGGACAUCAGGAGGUUAGUGCAAUGGCAUAAGCCAGCUUGACUGCGAGCGUGACGGCGCGAGCAGGUGCGAAAGCAGGUCAUAGUGAUCCGGUGGUUCUGAAUGGAAGGGCCAUCGCUCAACGGAUAAAAGGUACUCCGGGGAUAACAGGCUGAUACCGCCCAAGAGUUCAUAUCGACGGCGGUGUUUGGCACCUCGAUGUCGGCUCAUCACAUCCUGGGGCUGAAGUAGGUCCCAAGGGUAUGGCUGUUCGCCAUUUAAAGUGGUACGCGAGCUGGGUUUAGAACGUCGUGAGACAGUUCGGUCCCUAUCUGCCGUGGGCGCUGGAGAACUGAGGGGGGCUGCUCCUAGUACGAGAGGACCGGAGUGGACGCAUCACUGGUGUUCGGGUUGUCAUGCCAAUGGCACUGCCCGGUAGCUAAAUGCGGAAGAGAUAAGUGCUGAAAGCAUCUAAGCACGAAACUUGCCCCGAGAUGAGUUCUCCCUGAGACUUUAGGUCUCCUGAAGGAACGUUGAAGACGACGACGUUGAUAGGCCGGGUGUGUAAGCGCAGCGAUGCGUUGA
This 634-nucleotide ribosomal RNA is filed under the name Salmonella enterica. RNAcentral's name for it is "partial 23S ribosomal RNA". It matches the Rfam family "Bacterial large subunit ribosomal RNA", at positions 2261 to 2889 of the family's 2925-position model. RNAcentral also lists the same sequence under 1 other name. The record is from RNAcentral. Lineage: Bacteria; Pseudomonadati; Pseudomonadota; Gammaproteobacteria; Enterobacterales; Enterobacteriaceae.